AGAGACACAAUGACAUCAGAACAGUGACAUCACUGCAAACUGCCAAUCAGAGAAGGCAUGCCCAGAACACCAGCUAGCACAGGACCAGGACCCUGAUCAGGGAGGCACCCUGUCCAGUUCUGCCCCACCCAGCAUGGGCUCCAGGCUGCUCUGCUGGGUGGCCCUUUGUCUCCUGGGAAUGGGCCGAGUAGAUUCCGGAGUCACCCAAACACCAAGACACCUGAUUAAAGCAAAAGGACAGCAAGUGACACUGAAAUGUUCCCUUAUGUCUGGGCACAAAAGUGUGUUCUGGUACCAACAGGCCCUGGGCCAAGGGCCCCAGUUCCUUAUUCAAUAUUAUAAUAGAAUGGAGAGUGAAAGAGGAAACUUCCCAGAUCGAUUCUCAGCUCAACAGUUCAGUGACUUUAGCUCUGAGCUCAACAUGAGCUCCUUGCAGCUGGAGGACUCGGCACUGUAUCUCUGUGCCAGCAGCUUAGGCACAGCCCUGCAGAGUCAUCAACCUUCCGUGUACAAACCUCCCUGCCCCAGCAAGGAGCAACCUCAGACUGACUUAUCUGUGAGACUAAAGAGACUGCAGUAG
Non-coding RNA from Choloepus didactylus (southern two-toed sloth), 580 nucleotides. NCBI's taxonomy places the organism in Eukaryota, Metazoa, Chordata, Mammalia, Pilosa, Megalonychidae. The record is from the annotation of a RefSeq genome assembly.